This 85-nucleotide transfer RNA is filed under the name Phycisphaerales bacterium. RNAcentral describes it as "tRNA-Leu". It matches the Rfam family "tRNA". Rfam says of the family: Transfer RNA (tRNA) molecules are approximately 80 nucleotides in length. The record is from RNAcentral. Lineage: Bacteria; Pseudomonadati; Planctomycetota; Phycisphaerae; Phycisphaerales.
GGCCCUGUGGCGGAACGGCAGACGCAUCGGAUUUAAAAUCCGUAGCCCCGAAAGGGGCGUGUGGGUUCGAGUCCCACCGGGGCCA